ACACAACAGCUGCUAUAGACAGCCUGUUCAAUAAUGGCGUCAAUGGGUUACAAUAUAUAGGUUUGGCCACCAGGUGGCGCGCUUGGGCUGGUAAUGAAACUGCCAUUGUAGGCCUUGAACUAAAGAGCUUUUUUGUGAUGAGUUAUUUGUUUGUUUCAUCUGUAAUGUAGGUACAGCAAACGGGCAGUUGAUUCAUGUUCACAGGUUUUAGUCAAAGUAUAGUUGAUUUGUUAGUUGUAAUUUAUAAUACAGUAAAAAUAAUUUAGGUUUUAAAGACAAUUAAAUUACCCAGGAAGCUUUUAAGCAUGUUUAGGCUGAUUGUCAAUUUGCCUGUGUAACGUUUUAUAUUUGAUAUCAGUUGUAAAUAGUGACAGUUUGCUUGUGGCCGUAGUUCUAUGAUGAUGAUGAUGAAUAAUUAUAUAAUAAUAAUAACCCUAAUAACAAUAAAAUUACUACUACUUCUACUACUUCUACUACUACUACUAAUAAUAAUAAUAACUACAAAGCGUAGUUACAUGGGUAUGCUAGUAUACCCAUGUAACUACGAAGUAACACACACGCAGCCGUGUGUGUUACUUCAUAUUACUUCUAUCAAUUUCACUGUUUGACUUAGUUACUAGACGUUUCCUUGAUGUGACUGAUGAAUGUGUUUGUUCCUGCUCCUGAUGUUGGAUGGUCAGGCAUUGAACAUUUGUAUUGUUUCUAUUUAUUGAAUUGUUUUCUGUUCUUUGAACUCGAGGCAUUGAAGCUGAACGUUAUUAAUAAUAAUAUAUUGUUUGUGUUGGGUAGAAAAAAAUCAAAGAAAAGAAAAGUUAAAAAAAAUAGAAAAAUGUGGCAUUCAUAAAAGUGGUAUCGCUUUUGCAUUGUUAUCCAGCCCUAACCCUAACCACAAUAACCUCUAAAGCCGCUGAACGUAGCAACUUAGCUAGCUGCUAGCUGUUCGCGAGUAGGGAGAGCAGGCACCUACCGGCCCGUACCGGCUCGUUAUGGCUGAUAACAUCCGAAGCGGGUGUUUGGUAUCCAUAGCUGUCAGUUUGAAAAAGCUUGGUGGCAGUGAAAAUUGUUUUUCUCGAAGCUUCCAGAGACCAAACAUGGAGACGUUCAGUGCUCCGCUGGCAGUGAUUCUGACGUGAAACAUUUUAACUUGACCGAAUCCAACAUGACCAUAGAGGUCAAAAUCAAACCUGGAGAUAACUUCGUUUUUUACUGUCAGACUCCCAGUGGUCUACGCUCCUGGAUGAUGGGAUCCCCCCUAAACUCAUCAAAAUAUGUCGCCUUCAUGAGGGGAAAAAAAUUUCUUAAAAAUUACCAAUAUGAACAUUAUAUUAAACGAGUGGAUCUGAAAAAACCUAUGAACAUUUUUGUGAAUUUGACAGACGUCACGAGCAACGAUACAGGAAAAUAUCCGUGUUCUGUUGUAUAUGGAAACACAACUAAUUUCACUAUCAUCCUGACUGUAGCAGAAAACACAGAGAAGAUGAAGAACGAAGGACAUAGGGUUGAACUACAAGAACAUCAACAUUUUGGACUAGUAGCUGCUCUUCUUGUCAUUUUGCUUUUUGUUAUGGUUUUGUGUGGUUGUGCUUAUAAAAAUUAUAGAAAAUGUAAAUGUGUGUGUUAAGAAUUACAAUAAAGACAUGUACCAAAAAUGAAAA
This is a long non-coding RNA of Betta splendens (Siamese fighting fish), 1655 nucleotides long. RefSeq lists it as uncharacterized. Lineage: Eukaryota; Metazoa; Chordata; Actinopteri; Anabantiformes; Osphronemidae. The record is from RefSeq and is a predicted model, not a curated record. The transcript has 4 exons.